Meriones unguiculatus (Mongolian gerbil) is the source of this 142-nucleotide small nucleolar RNA. RefSeq annotates it as small nucleolar RNA SNORA48. The transcript has a single exon. Lineage: Eukaryota; Metazoa; Chordata; Mammalia; Rodentia; Muridae. The record is from RefSeq and is a predicted model, not a curated record.
UCUCCCAGCAAUGGGCAAAGGGACACCUUGUUGGUGAUGGUGUUUUUCUAUCAGUCAUGGACAAACAGAUGGCAGUCUUUUGUUCAUCCUAGCUUGAUGCCUGGCUUGGUGGCCAAAGCUGCUUUAUGCUUAGGACUCACAA